Molecule: transfer RNA, 67 nt
Filed under: Marshallena sp. MNHN IM 2013-9821
Lineage: Eukaryota; Metazoa; Mollusca; Gastropoda; Neogastropoda; Horaiclavidae
Description: tRNA-Tyr
Rfam family: tRNA
About the family: Transfer RNA (tRNA) molecules are approximately 80 nucleotides in length. Their secondary structure includes four short double-helical elements and three loops (D, anti-codon, and T loops). Further hydrogen bonds mediate the characteristic L-shaped molecular structure. tRNAs have two regions of fundamental functional importance: the anti-codon, which is responsible for specific mRNA codon recognition, and the 3' end, to which the tRNAs corresponding amino acid is attached (by aminoacyl-tRNA synthetases). tRNAs cope with the degeneracy of the genetic code in two manners: having more than one tRNA (with a specific anti-codon) for a particular amino acid; and 'wobble' base-pairing, i.e. permitting non-standard base-pairing at the 3rd anti-codon position.
Source: RNAcentral
UGUUUGGUGGCUGAGCUGUAAGGCGGUAGACUGUAGAUCUAUUAACGGAGUUAAGUUUCCCCAACAA